This 504-nucleotide ribosomal RNA is filed under the name uncultured bacterium. RNAcentral describes it as "bacterial SSU rRNA". It matches the Rfam family "Bacterial small subunit ribosomal RNA", at positions 15 to 518 of the family's 1533-position model. The record is from RNAcentral.
GAUUAUGGCUCAGGAUGAACGCUGGCGGCGUGCUUAACACAUGCAAGUCGAACGAGGCUCAUCUGUGGAAGUUUUCGGAUGGAAACGGAUGUGACCGAGUGGCGGACGGGUGAGUAACGCGUGGGGAACCUGCCCCAUUCCGGGGGAUACCAGUUGGAAACGACUGUUAAUACCGCAUAAGCGCACGGGAAGGCAUCUUCCAGUGUGAAAAACUGAGGUGGAAUGGGAUGGCCCCGCGUCUGAUUAGCCAGUUGGCAGGGUAACGGCCUACCAAAGCGACGAUCAGUAGCCGGCCUGAGAGGGCGACCGGCCACAUUGGGACUGAGACACGGCCCAAACUCCUACGGGAGGCAGCAGUGGGGAAUAUUGCACAAUGGGGGGAACCCUGAUGCAAGCGACGCCGCGUGGGUGAGGAAGUAUUUCGGUAUGUAAAGCUCUAUCAGCAGGGAAGAAGAUGACGGUACCUGCACAAGAAGCCCCGGCUAACUACGUGCCAGCAGCGGC